RNAcentral lists this ribosomal RNA (264 nucleotides) under uncultured bacterium. RNAcentral describes it as "partial 16S ribosomal RNA". It matches the Rfam family "Bacterial small subunit ribosomal RNA", at positions 29 to 289 of the family's 1533-position model. The record is from RNAcentral.
AUGAACGCUGGCGGCGUGCUUAACACAUGCAAGUCGAACGAUUAAAGCUCACUUCGGUGAGUGUAUAGAGUGGCGAACGGGUGAGUAACACGUGGGAAACCUGCCCCUUUCUUCGGGAUAACUUCGGGAAACCGUUGCUAAUACCGGAUACUCCGGGAUGGUCGCAUGGCCGGCCCGGGAAAGCUUUAUGUGGAAAGGGAUGGUCCCGCGGCCCAUUAGCUUGUUGGUGGGGUAAUGGCCUACCAAGGCAAUGAUGGGUAGCCG